GCCCCCACCGGGUGGUGGUGGUGGUGUUGGGGCGGCGCCGGGGUCCCCGCGUUCUCGGGGUGCGAGCCGCCGCAGCCCGUGGUGUGGAGGGGCGAGAUUCACGUGACAGCCACCGAGGGCCGGGCCCUGACCCCCAGAUCUAGUCCCGCCGCCCUGCGAGGGUCCUCUCGGGUCAAGGAGAGAACUCACCCAACUAACAGAAGUUUUCAGACCUUCAACCCAGAGUCCCACCAGGAAGCCAGUUCAGAAGCACAGCUCUGGCUUCCAACCUAACCCUCCCCCCCCCAGGUUCACCUCUGCGCCCGGCCCCUCUCCAGGCCCCUGUUCCUCAUGGAACCCCCUCUGGCCCACCCCCAGUCACAGGUAGGAGCUUUGUGUUGAGGGACCAGAGGAGGCAGUACAGCAAAACCUCAUUAAUCCAAACCCCUGUGGAUUUGGAAGUUUUGUUUUGUUUUUCAUAAUUUGAACAAAACUGGGGCUUAGGUUUUACUUUAUCUGUGAAGAAAGGGUGUGCUAAGCAAAUUAGGGGUAGAAAUGUGUCUGUGGGAAGGGAUAUUUAACCUAUACCAGCAAACACUUUUCAGUCUGAUCUGUUCAUUAAGGCUCCCUGAGGGCCUGAACAGAAGCCUUGUUCACCAGGUUCUACUUACUGUAUAUGUUUUGAAGACAAGCAUUUCAUUAAACAGACACUGUCAUUCAGUUUUGUCACUUA
Long non-coding RNA from Jaculus jaculus (lesser Egyptian jerboa), 712 nucleotides. RefSeq lists it as uncharacterized. The record is from RefSeq and is a predicted model, not a curated record. The transcript is spliced from 2 exons. Lineage: Eukaryota; Metazoa; Chordata; Mammalia; Rodentia; Dipodidae.